GCACCCAUAGCUUAACGGAUAGAGUAUCAGUUUGCGGAACUGAUGAUCCCAGUUCAAUUCUGGGUGGGUGCA
This 72-nucleotide transfer RNA is filed under the name Patescibacteria group bacterium. RNAcentral's name for it is "tRNA-Arg". It matches the Rfam family "tRNA". From Rfam's summary of the family: Transfer RNA (tRNA) molecules are approximately 80 nucleotides in length. Their secondary structure includes four short double-helical elements and three loops (D, anti-codon, and T loops). The record is from RNAcentral.